Molecule: non-coding RNA, 45 nt
Filed under: Schistosoma mattheei
Lineage: Eukaryota; Metazoa; Platyhelminthes; Trematoda; Strigeidida; Schistosomatidae
Source: RNAcentral
GUCCAGCCGACGAGUCCGAAAUAGGACAAAACGUCCAUCCUGGAU